RNAcentral lists this long non-coding RNA (999 nucleotides) under Panax ginseng (ginseng). RNAcentral describes it as "long non-coding RNA (PGIN_LNC017390)". The record is from RNAcentral. Lineage: Eukaryota; Viridiplantae; Streptophyta; Magnoliopsida; Apiales; Araliaceae.
AAAAUUCUCAAACCCCAUUACUGUAAUUCUCUUUUCCUUUCACCUCUUAUCUAUGUAAUUGAUAGAAAUCUUACACCUGGAAGAAGGGUCAGGUAGCCAAGUGCUAUGAGGGUUUGGCCUUGUUUUCAUAUAACUCUUUUGAGUUUUACCUGAAUUCUCUGCGCCCCCUUCUGAGCUCUGUCUCUCUUCUAUAUCUCACUGCGUUUAUCUUCCUAUAUUUAUCUCUGUGUAUGUAUCUAUCUGGCCACCAUUAGGUGCUCCAUUAAAGCUUUCCUUGGUGCAAUUUCCCUGAAAGCUAAUAGGUUUAAGGACUUGUCUUUCGGUCUCACAAGGGGUAAGCUUUCAAAUUCUAGACAACUGUCACUUUAUUCACUGCAAUGCAUUAAUAAUUUGAAACUUUCUCGUGUUUGGCCUGGAAUUCUGUAAUUCUGUAUUGUAUAUUAUAUAGAUUGGUCUAUUUUUUUUAAAUUUGUAUAAUUUAAAAUUUUAAUUUGAUGCUGUCAAUGGAUGAGAAUUAGGGUUUAUGAAGUUAAUUGGCAUUUGUUUCUGGGUCUUAUACAUUCCUUAACUAGUUUUGGAUUUGGGUUUUUGAGGUUGAAAGGUGGUGGUUUCCUGGUUAUUUUAGCAUGAAUCCUUUUUUUGAAUAUUUGGUUCUUUGUUGUAAAAAGGGUGUGUGCUACUUUGUUGGUGUGUUUCAUUUCUAGCAAUUUGAGUCUUUGGAGAUUAAAGGGUAUCAGUUUCUGGGUUUGUGUAUAAUUCUAUAUCUCAUUCCUGGUUUGAUCAUCUGAGUUUAUUUGAAGUGUAAGAAUGUCUUUUCUCUCUCUCUCUCUCUCUUAUUUUUUUGGUUUGUUAUCAGUACUUUUACUUGCUGGGAUUUCUUGCUGGGAUUUUUGAGUCUUUGAGGUUACGGAUUUAACUUUUUUUGCCUGAUUACUGGCUUAAGGAUCGGAGUUUUAAGAGGAUAAAGGUUCUUAGCUCCUGCAUUGUCUGUGUGUAACA